This 3892-nucleotide unclassified non-coding RNA is filed under the name Pomacea canaliculata. RNAcentral's name for it is "uncharacterized LOC112576527, transcript variant X1". Lineage: Eukaryota; Metazoa; Mollusca; Gastropoda; Architaenioglossa; Ampullariidae. The record is from RNAcentral.
GUCGGAGGACACUCUGCUGUUCGACCGGGUAUCUCAGGUCAGCUAUCUUUCGGAUGCCCUUCUAGAUGAGGGCUACGACACAGCCAGACGAUCCAGAGGGCGCGACCAACAACUGCUCCGGGAGGCCACCAAUGCCAUCCCAAGAUCAUCAAGCCGGGACACAUCCUCUUCCACAUCGCCUGCGAGGCCAGCUCCUACAAUCUCGUCCAGGCGCUUUGGCCGCUCAAAUCUGCCCAGAGCAAGCGAGUGAGCUUUGAGGAUGACUCCAGCCCCACUGGCAGGACAACUGCUCUCUCUACUUCGGAUGUAAUGGCUAGCCCUCCUCCUCGACCUUCUGUCAUACGGCAUCGCUUUGGUGCUCGUGCACCUGUCCUUCAGUCUUUUCUGGACGAUGAGCCCAGUCUGUCCAGAACCCUGGAGCACUCAGACUUCCCUUAUAGAGGUCAGCGGCACACCUCACCACCUUCCAAGAUCUUAGCAGGCUACAGACCCUCCUCCCCCUUACGACAUACCUUAGCUCCUGCACCUGUCAGCACGCUGAAAGAAAGCAAAUACCUUGGACGUCCACGAGCAUCUCUGCAUCCCCGUCCGUCGCCAUACGCUUCGACUGACUUAAAUUUCGACAAAUCAGAGCUGCCCCGUUACGACCUCGUGUACGUAGAUCACGAGCCGGGGGCUAAACCAUUUCGCCGACGUCCGAGGGUGUUGGGAUCCUCGCGACGCCCAGCUGGGAAUUACUAUGAGCGUCUUCUGCGCAAGCGUGGCAAACGUCGAGGAAAAUUCGGACCUUACUACGAUGUGGAAUCAAUCGAAGGCAGCGAUCUCACUGACGUCCUGAGCGACACAGGCUCCCUGUCUGACUUGGAUGCUUCGUAUGGUACGUAUGACAGUAGUGUUACCCCAUCCUACACUUUUCAAGACUACCCUCUUUCGUCGUCCCCAUCUUCCGCAUACUACGUUGACCAGGAUACGGAAUACGUUCCCUAUGGACCCUCUCGCCAUCUUGAGACCACUGGACUUUUAGAAGUGUCGUCAUACAAUGGCAAUGAUGACGAGAAUGAAGAGUGUUCCGACACGGCGUCUCUCCCUUCUCCGAUGAACGACCUUUCAUUGUCCACGUAUCUGCCCAACAGUGUUGUUUCGUCUGCCCUCUCCCGAUCACCUUACCGUGCGGUUGUCCCCUACACCUCGUCUUUUUUAGAUAACUGUCUCGACGUGAUGCCAUCAUCGUCCCCGAGCCAAAAGCUGCUCGAUUCUCUUGUGCAAACGGCUGUGGCACGCGCUCGGUCGGCCGUCGACGCCUUAGCUUUGCCUGAUUACCACGGCGCUAGCCUUGUGCUCAGCGUGGAAGGAGCGGGAAAGAUGGCUGAUGGGAAGAUUGUAGAUUUUACCUACACACCGCCACCCAUACCGCUUUUUGGCAGAGCACCCAGGCUUGACGACCGGAUCAUGGGACUGUCGCUUAAGCGCAAGGAUGUGCUACGACCUGUUGAUGACUUCCUUGCUGGCUACGUCAAGCGCAUGGAGUCGCUUCGUUCUCAACUCUACGGAAGGCAGGACAACGAUAAGGAUAAGGAUAAGCACCCGCGCUAUGGCCUGACUGCUGCUGAGACCCCUUCUCGCCAGUACUCGACUCCUUCUUACUCGACCUACAAGCCUUACACAUCUUCACACACCUACGUCCCCGUCAGGCAUCUGAGCUCGCAACGAACAGAGCACGUGCCCGUGACGAGCUAUCGCAGGGACCUGGAUGAUGGGCGCUCCCAUCGUAUGGAUGUUUUCCCCCUCAGCGUGAUUAAACCGCGCAUUGCGGAAUCGACUCCCAAAGCCAUCACGCUGCCAGGAGCUGUUACAAAGGACGGCUCACCGGUCCAACUGUCUGUACUCGAUAGGAUUAACAUCAAGGCUGCGAUUAUUGCCAGCAAGCUGGAGCCCGAUCCAAUCAAACGCAGGCGACCUCGCUCUCAGUUCGCCGCUGACAAGCUCCGGAACAUGCGCAAGGAGGCUCAGGAGAGUGUCUACACUGGAACUGCUUCUGCCGGGAUGACAGCAUCCACCCCACCUCUGCCAAGAUUGACGGAGAGGAAAGCUAUACGCACUGAGGAAGGCUUCUCCAAACCCAAGAAUAUUCUAUCUUGGCAGUAUCGGGUGGAGUCCCGAAUACCUCCCAACGACCUGCUGUACCAGCCCUCCUCCUUCAUUCGCAUUCGCGAGCAAGUGCGUAACGCUCAAGAAAGGAUGGACCGACAUCGCCAGCUUCUAGACAGAUACCUCCCUGAUAGCGAAGAUACCGGCGACAUUGCUGCCAAAGUUUUGCGCAAGACGAGCGAAUUGGAGAAACGGAACGCACUGGUGUAGAGCAACGCACUUCCCCGGUGUCGGAGCUGAGGAGACGUAUCAGGAAGACACUCAACAAGAGCCGAAUGUCUUACAGCUAGACCGCCAUGACACCGGGCGGCCGCCUGCUCCACUGGGAGGCGCAAGUAGGCGUCAGGAGACUGAAGCUGCUGAGGCCGAAUAGCGAGGUGAAUAUGGAUCUGAGGACUCCGACUUUUCUGUGAAGCCUCGGUCAUCUCUGUCACUUCUGCAGAGCUUAUCUAUAAAAAAAUCUCUUACUUGGUUAUAAAUAUUGACAUUUCUGCCCCUCUCUGCAUAACUUCACGAUGAGCUAUAGUUUAAUGUUCAUGCUCGUAAUUUAAAAUAAGCUUAGACGUGCAAUUGUGAAAAUUUACAUUCACCGUGCCGUUGCAAACAGGAGUGAUCUUCUAAAAUAAUUACAUGUAUGCGUUCAUAGCACUCUGAAAAAUAAUUUAUCGCAAGGUGCGUAAACAAAUCAAAAUGACAACUAGUAUGUCUAUAUAACGGUAAUAUAUAUGAUGUAUAAAACUGAUUAUAUUACACAAAACUUGCCAUUAAGGGGGCUUCCAACCGAUGUACAAUAUAUUCUACUUUCAUUUUGUAUUUCAUAAAUAUCGCCUCUAUUGUUCACGUGUUAGUGGCAGUGUCGCAUAAAAAGUUUUUAAGGAAAACGCCACUUUUGCCUCAUUAAUUGGCCUGCAACUUAGAUAGCUAUUGCUACAUUUCCAAGGUAACUUUAUUGUUUCACGGCCUGACUUUAUCAUUGGUGUGAUACUUGCAGUUUCGACUUGUAAAGAGACUUUUCUUGUACAGUUUUGUGCUUCAUGAUACAAAAUUGGUUAUGUUGUUUACGUUGGCUUUGGUGGAAAAGUGCAAUAAUAUUGCGGAUCUAUUGAGAAAAUGCAUUACUACUUCACAGCUUUCUGUAUGGAGCUGUUGAACAAUAACUGUAUUUCCGCAUUACAGUUUUUUUUUUUUUAAAUAAGAAAAGAAAUUUGCUUGUGAAGAAACUGUAUGCCUUCGUUGCUUUUUCUUAAUCGGCGAUCGCUUUGAAAGAAAACACAUCGGUUUGUUUCGCGAGAAUAAAAACUAGGUAUGAACAGGAAUCUUUCUGUGAAGGCCUUACUGCUUUUUCUUUUAAAGUCACAUUUAUGAUGAUUGAACAACAUCAUGUUUCUAAGCUAGUCUGAAGCGCCGCCGUGCAGUUUUGACAAAAGAUGAUUCAACAGAUUGCGAAUAAAUAUUUAUGUGUGUAAAUCAAAACCGAGUGAAAUAUUGAACAUUUGACCCUAUGAGUCAGUCACACGUGUGCAGUUAACAAGUAAUAUCCACGAUUGCCUCCCAAAUAUAAAAUUGCCUUUUCAUGGACCUCUCCUUAAAGGUAAUGUAAGUAGUUUCUUCGUACUGCCAUGUGAGCAAUAAGUCCACUCACUUACAUGAGAACAAUGCGAAUGUGUGUAUUUAGAUUUUCGGUCCUUUUUGGCAGAUUGAAUGUCAAUUCACGGUAUGGCGUUAAAUAAAUUUCUGUCUUUGA